AAGUCGUAACAAGGUCUCCGUUGGUGAACCAGCGGAGGGAUCAUUACUGAGUUACUACUCUCAACCCUUGUGAACAUUACUUGUGUUGCUUCGGCAGGUUUUCCCUGGGAGGGAAUUUGGCCUUUAAUGGUAAUCUGCCAGAGGCUUUAAACUCUAUCUUUCCUAUUUUCUGAGGACAUUUCAAAAGAUUAAAAACUUUCAGCAACGGAUCUCUUGGUUCUG
Molecule: unclassified non-coding RNA, 222 nt
Filed under: fungal sp.
Lineage: Eukaryota; Fungi
Description: partial internal transcribed spacer region
Rfam family: Eukaryotic small subunit ribosomal RNA (bases 1-46)
Source: RNAcentral